UAUAAGACAAAUGUUUGUUCUUAAUACAAGUUGUGUUAUUUGUAAUUAAAUUAAUAAAUAUAAAAAUGUAAAGUGUUUUAGUUUUAAGUGGUGAAUUUAUUGUGUUAUUAUUAUAAAAUUAAAUAUGUUUGAGUAAAACCUGAAAUAAUAAAAAGUUAUCAAAUGCUUCAUAACAUCAAGGUGCAUCUUUGCGACAUUCUCCAAAUUACCACAAGAUCAUAACUUUGAAAUAUCCUAAAUAUAUAUAACGAAAAAUUGGGAAAAAUAAAAUAUAAUUUAGACGUGAAGCAGCCAUCAUUAUUGCCUAUAAAUGACUCAAUAUGCAGUAAAAUGGACCUGUUUGAAAUAUACUCGAGUCAACCGUAGACACCACAAAAUUAGCUUUCAAUAAAACAGAUUUCAUUGUACAUGCCCCCAAAAGAGCUAAUAUAAAUUAACAAACCACAGUUGUAUGCUUGCUAUUUCUGUUCUUGAAGUUGUUGCUGACGAUUCCUAACAACCGCCAAAG
This is a long non-coding RNA of Lucilia sericata (common green bottle fly), 508 nucleotides long. RefSeq lists it as uncharacterized. The transcript has 5 exons. Lineage: Eukaryota; Metazoa; Arthropoda; Insecta; Diptera; Calliphoridae. The record is from RefSeq and is a predicted model, not a curated record.